AAAAAAAAAAAAAAAAAAGGGGUAAUUGACACAAGUAUAUGGUAUAUAAAUGGUCUUAUUAUUAUUGAGUUUCUAGAUUUAUGCUUCACUUUGGAAGGGCAAAACAGGCAUCUUCUUUCCAUUAAAAUCUUAAAAGGCUCUUUUUCAGCAAAAACAAGAAUCUGUUCAUGUAGCAGGCUUUUGAGAAAUUCUAACCAGUCCAUUACGUAUGUACAAGUUUACAGCCCAUGAAACCUUGUGUCGUCUGCAAGAAAUAGUGUUCCUGUUAUUCUCAACACUUUGGUAUUUUUUUUAUGGCGAAUAUGGUAAUAAGAAUCUAUGGUUCUAUGUUAGUGCAGGAUUACAUAGACAGCAUGGAAGGAGCAACUUUAUCUGGCAGACAGGCUUCAGCAUAUAUAUGUGAUGCUGGUGAAGA
This 415-nucleotide unclassified non-coding RNA is filed under the name Hevea brasiliensis (rubber tree). Lineage: Eukaryota; Viridiplantae; Streptophyta; Magnoliopsida; Malpighiales; Euphorbiaceae. The record is from RNAcentral.